GUGGGACAGCCUCAUUCCAGCGU
Molecule: microRNA, 23 nt
Filed under: Ananas comosus (pineapple)
Lineage: Eukaryota; Viridiplantae; Streptophyta; Magnoliopsida; Poales; Bromeliaceae
Description: microRNA s0619_c84a
Source: RNAcentral